This 253-nucleotide ribosomal RNA is filed under the name uncultured bacterium. Its description in RNAcentral is "partial 16S ribosomal RNA". It matches the Rfam family "Bacterial small subunit ribosomal RNA", at positions 524 to 776 of the family's 1533-position model. The record is from RNAcentral.
UACAGAGGGGGCAAGCGUUAUUCGGAAUUAUUGGGCGUAAAGGGCGCGUAGGCGGCUUGGCAAGUGGAAGGUGAAAUCCCUCGGCUUAACCGAGGAACUGCCUUCCAAACUGCCUGGCUUGAGACCGGGAGAGGUGAGUGGAAUUCCCAGUGUAGCGGUGAAAUGCGUAGAUAUUGGGAGGAACACCAGUGGCGAAGUCGGCUCACUGGACCGGUACUGACGCUGAUGCGCGAAAGCGUGGGGAGCAAACGGG